AGCUUGCUACCUGACCUAGCGGCGGACGGGUGAGUAAUGCUUAGGAAUCUGCCUAUUAGUGGGGGACAACAUUCCGAAAGGAAUGCUAAUACCGCAUACGCCCUACGGGGGAAAGCAGGGGAUCUUCGGACCUUGCGCUAAUAGAUGAGCCUAAGUCAGAUUAGCUAGUUGGUGGGGUAAAGGCCUACCAAGGCGACGAUCUGUAGCGGGUCUGAGAGGAUGAUCCGCCACACUGGGACUGAGACACGGCCCAGACUCCUACGGGAGGCAGCAGUGGGGAAUAUUGGACAAUGGGCGAAAGCCUGAUCCAGCCAUGCCGCGUGUGUGAAGAAGGCCUUUUGGUUGUAAAGCACUUUAAGCGAGGAGGAGGCUACUGAGAUUAAUACUCUUGGAUAGUGGACGUUACUCGCAGAAUAAGCACCGGCUAACUCUGUGCCAGCAGCCGCGGUAAUACAGAGGGUGCGAGCGUUAAUCGGAUUCACUGGGCGUAAAGCGUGCGUAGGCGGCUUUUUAAGUCGGAUGUGAAAUCCCUGAGCUUAACUUAGGAAUUGCAUUCGAUACUGGGAAGCUAGAGUAUGGGAGAGGAUGGUAGAAUUCCAGGUGUAGCGGUGAAAUGCGUAGAGAUCUGGAGGAAUACCGAUGGCGAAGGCAGCCAUCUGGCCUAAUACUGACGCUGAGGUACGAAAGCAUGGGGAGCAAACAGGAUUAGAUACCCUGGUAGUCCAUGCCGUAAACGAUGUCUACUAGCCGUUGGGGCCUUUGAGGCUUUAGUGGCGCAGCUAACGCGAUAAGUAGACCGCCUGGGGAGUACGGUCGCAAGACUAAAACUCAAAUGAAUUGACGGGGGCCCGCACAAGCGGUGGAGCAUGUGGUUUAAUUCGAUGCAACGCGAAGAACCUUACCUGGUCUUGACAUAGUAAGAACUUUCCAGAGAUGGAUUGGUGCCUUCGGGAACUUACAUACAGGUGCUGCAUGGCUGUCGUCAGCUCGUGUCGUGAGAUGUUGGGUUAAGUCCCGCAACGAGCGCAACCCUUUUCCUUAUUUGCCAGCACUUCGGGUGGGAACUUUAAGGAUACUGCCAGUGACAAACUGGAGGAAGGCGGGGACGACGUCAAGUCAUCAUGGCCCUUACGACCAGGGCUACACACGUGCUACAAUGGUCGGUACAAAGGGUUGCUACCUAGCGAUAGGAUGCUAAUCUCAAAAAGCCGAUCGUAGUCCGGAUUGGAGUCUGCAACUCGACUCCAUGAAGUCG
This 1255-nucleotide ribosomal RNA is filed under the name uncultured Acinetobacter sp. RNAcentral describes it as "bacterial SSU rRNA". It matches the Rfam family "Bacterial small subunit ribosomal RNA", at positions 77 to 1328 of the family's 1533-position model. The record is from RNAcentral. Lineage: Bacteria; Pseudomonadati; Pseudomonadota; Gammaproteobacteria; Moraxellales; Moraxellaceae.